GCCCAGGUCCGUUCGAGGCCAAGAACACCGUCGACGCACGUCGACGACCAAUCGGCGGUUCAAAUCCGUCCCUGGGCA
RNAcentral lists this transfer RNA (78 nucleotides) under Natrialba magadii ATCC 43099. RNAcentral describes it as "tRNA-Und (NNN) (tRNA-Und-NNN-1-1)". The record is from RNAcentral. Lineage: Archaea; Methanobacteriati; Methanobacteriota; Halobacteria; Halobacteriales; Natrialbaceae.